CCAGAGAACUACGAGCACAAACGCUUAAAACUCUAAGGACUUGGCGGUGCCCUAAACCCACCUAGAGGAGCCUGUUCUGUAAUCGAUGAUCCACGAUCAACCCUACCGUCCCUUGCCAAGCACAGCCUACAUACCGCCGUCGCCAGCCCACCUCGAAUGAGAGCACAACAGUGGGCGCAACAGCACCCCGCUAAUAAGACAGGUCAAGGUAUAGCCUAUGGGGCGGAAGAAAUGGGCUACAUUCCCUAUACAUAGGGCAGCACGGAAAGAAGUAUGAAACUGCUUCUGGAAGGAGGAUUUAGCAGUAAAGCGGGAUAAUAAAGCCCGCUUUAAGCCGGCCCUAGGGCACGUACACACCGCCCGUCACC
RNAcentral lists this ribosomal RNA (368 nucleotides) under Anas crecca (Common teal). RNAcentral describes it as "partial small subunit ribosomal RNA". It matches the Rfam family "Bacterial small subunit ribosomal RNA", at positions 872 to 1401 of the family's 1533-position model. Lineage: Eukaryota; Metazoa; Chordata; Aves; Anseriformes; Anatidae. The record is from RNAcentral.